Molecule: ribosomal RNA, 253 nt
Filed under: uncultured bacterium
Lineage: Bacteria
Description: partial 16S ribosomal RNA
Rfam family: Bacterial small subunit ribosomal RNA
Source: RNAcentral
UACGAAGGGGGCUAGCGUUGCUCGGAAUUAUUGGGCGUAAAGGGCGCGUAGGCGGUCAGCUUAGUCAGAGGUUAAAGCCCAGGGCUCAACCUUGGAAUCGCCUUUGAUACUGGCUGUCUUGAGUACGGGAGAGGUGUGUGGAACUCCGAGUGUAGAGGUGAAAUCCGUAGAUAUUCGGAAGAACACCAGUGGCGAAGGCGACACACUGGCCCGUUACUGACGCUGAGGCGCGAAAGCGUGGGGAGCAAACAGG